UCGUAACAAGGUCUCCGUUGGUGAACCAGCGGAGGGAUCAUUACUGAGUUUACGCUCUACAACCCUUUGUGAACAUACCUACAACUGUUGCUUCGGCGGGUAGGGUCUCCGCGACCCUCCCGGCCUCCCGCCUCCGGGCGGGUCGGCGCCCGCCGGAGGAUAACCAAACUCUGAUUUAACGACGUUUCUUCUGAGUGGUACAAGCAAAUAAUCAAAACUUUUAACAACGGAUCUCUUGGUUCUGGCAUCGAUGAAGAACGCAGCGAAAUGCGAUAAGUAAUGUGAAUUGCAGAAUUCAGUGAAUCAUCGAAUCUUUGAACGCACAUUGCGCCCGCCAGCAUUCUGGCGGGCAUGCCUGUUCGAGCGUCAUUUCAACCCUCAAGCUCUGCUUGGUGUUGGGGCCCUACAGCCGAUGUAGGCCCUCAAAGGUAGUGGCGGACCCUCCCGGAGCCUCCUUUGCGUAGUAACUUUACGUCUCGCACUGGGAUCCGGAGGGACUCUUGCCGUAAAACCCCCCAAUUUUCCAAAGGUUGACCUCGGAUCAGGUAGGAAUACCCGCUGAACUUAAGCAUAUCAAUAAGCGGAGGA
RNAcentral lists this ribosomal RNA (588 nucleotides) under Colletotrichum gloeosporioides. Its description in RNAcentral is "eukaryotic LSU rRNA". The stretch from base 216 to 369 matches the Rfam family "5.8S ribosomal RNA". The record is from RNAcentral. Lineage: Eukaryota; Fungi; Ascomycota; Sordariomycetes; Glomerellales; Glomerellaceae.